This 557-nucleotide long non-coding RNA is filed under the name Ornithorhynchus anatinus (platypus). RNAcentral's name for it is "lncRNA (ENSOANG00000043824.1)". The record is from RNAcentral. Lineage: Eukaryota; Metazoa; Chordata; Mammalia; Monotremata; Ornithorhynchidae.
CGGCAAGAGAGAUGAAAACGAGGCACAGUGAGUAGGUUGGUUUAAGAGGAGCGAAUCAUGUGGGCUGGAAUGUAGUGGGAGAGGAGUGAGGAAAAGUAGUGGGGAGAGAACAAACAGAACCUAAAAUAAAGAGAACAGUGUAGAAAAGUGUAAAUUCUACUAGCAUAAACACUGGUUCCGCUAAUCUUAACCCAGACCCUUUUCUAACAACAGUUCCACUUAUGCAACGUUCCACAAGCUACCAAGUUCUGCAAAAUGAAGAUGAUCUGGAGUGAAAGAUGAACUUCAAGAGGAGGAAUGGCAGCUUUAGGUGAAGCGAGGCAGCACUCUGGCGGAUUGGUCGAUGGUGCGGCUCUACUCCUGGGAUGCCAGCUCAAUCAAUGCUAAAAUCAGCAUCAGGAGAAGUCCCAAAAGAAAGAAAUCCUCACCUGAUGAGUGCACCAGCCGAGCCGGUGAGUGAGUAGAAUGAGCUGAGAGCAAAACCACCAAAACACGCAGAGAGAAUUUAUAAUCGGGAGCCAAGGUUCAGUAUGCUGACUUCUAGCAUCACACGUGCU